GGGUCAGUAGGUUGGUCGUGCCACCGGUACGUACUGGUCUCACUGAUUCCUCCUUCCUGAAGAACCGUAAUGCCAUUAAUUUGGUGUUGCGGGGAAACAGGACUGUUACUUUGAAAAAAUUAGAGUGUUUAAAGCAAGCUAACGCUUGAAUACAUUAGCAUGGAAUAAUGGAAUAGGACGAUCGAUCCUAUUUUGUUGGCUUCUAGGAUUGACGUA
RNAcentral lists this ribosomal RNA (216 nucleotides) under Glomeromycotina sp. Its description in RNAcentral is "partial small subunit ribosomal RNA". The stretch from base 40 to 216 matches the Rfam family "Eukaryotic small subunit ribosomal RNA", at positions 686 to 864 of the family's 1831-position model. Lineage: Eukaryota; Fungi; Glomeromycota. The record is from RNAcentral.